Molecule: long non-coding RNA, 565 nt
Organism: Amphimedon queenslandica
Lineage: Eukaryota; Metazoa; Porifera; Demospongiae; Haplosclerida; Niphatidae
Exons: 3
Source: RefSeq, a predicted model, not a curated record
CAUUUAUAAGAUCUAUAUAAGUGUGUUGUUUGUGAGUUAGUUUUUAGUUUUUGUUAGUUGAGUUUCGUGUUGAUUAAGAAAUAAGUUUGGUGAACAGAUAGCUAGGAGCGUCUGUUACAAACUGCACUUCAGUCUUAACUGCUACUCCAGUUUCAGUAAUCCCAUCAACUAUAGUGAUACAUCAGACAGUGUCAUUGCUCUUAGUGUGUUAGUGGGUAUAUUGUGUGGUCUACUAACUGUCAGUGUUAUUGUUCAUAUCUACUGCUUUAUAAGAAAGAAGAGUUCAUACACUGUUAAUAAGCAAACGAAAGCUGAUGAUGAUAUUGCAAUGCAAGUAUGUGAACCAUAUGAAAUUCACAAGACUAAACAAAGUGAAAAGAAUGAAGGAGUCUAUGAUGAAUGCCAAACAUCACCUGAUGAUGUUUAUGAGCAUAUGCCACAAUAAAUGUAUAUACUAGAAUUACUUGAUAUACUAAACAUAACUAGUUAAACAUUUUCACUAGUAUUAGUGCAGCAAUUAAUAUUGUUUACACAUAGUUAUACAUUUAGUUUGUUUGAGAAAAAG